Anastrepha ludens (Mexican fruit fly) is the source of this 2139-nucleotide long non-coding RNA. RefSeq lists it as uncharacterized. The transcript is spliced from 5 exons. The record is from RefSeq and is a predicted model, not a curated record. NCBI's taxonomy places the organism in Eukaryota, Metazoa, Arthropoda, Insecta, Diptera, Tephritidae.
UCCAUCUCAGAAGCUAAUUUCGUCAUCUGAGUAUUCUGUAUCAGUUUCGUAUCCGGUAUCUAUCGUGUGCCAAUGCUGGACAAUCGCUGAGAUAGUGAAGAAUCGUCUCUCUACUAACUUCAAGUUAUUAUCGGUAAAAAUUAUUUAAGAUCAAUUGCUGUAUUCGCCGAUGAGCAAUUCUUACCGCAGUGAAAAAUUCAAUAGAGUGCGUGAAUGCCGAGGUAGCGUCAGGAGUUGGAUAAGACAUAGCGAAUUCAAGCAAAGUGACACAGCCUUUUCAGAAUAAACAAGGAAUUUAUUUGUAACGAGAAUUCAACUGCAAAGUAGAAAUUGUCGUUUUUUUCUUGUGCUAAACGGUGUCCGUUGGCCGCACCAAUUGAAACCUAGUCCUUCUCCUCCCGGCAUUUCCAGCGCAAAGGACUCCUUCCUUCUCCUCUGCUACCACCAGCAGGUACCGCAUCGAAUACUUCCAGAGUUGGAGCGUUUCUAUCCAUUCAGAUCAAGAUUUGUAAGAUAACAAGGUGGAUAUUUCCCGACUGCUGCACAUUCCGUCAAAAAAGGGGUUAUUAAAAUUGAAGAAGGUCAAACAAUAAAUUUCACUACAGUUUCACUACCGCCUCCGAAUGCAGAUAAUUUUUUAUGAGUAGCUUCUUUUUGGCAGAAAUACACUCGUCAAAAAACAAUGCUAUUUGAAAAAUACUUCUAUCAUUUGGUGUUUUAUGUUCACUGUUGGUUUCGAACGGGUUCUGCUGAAUGUCAGUCAUGCACAAAACUAUUCGACUACAGACAUACAUUCUGUCGAAGAAGCACCAGAAAUUGUUUGCAAAAAUAAUUUCAGUGUUGAGUUUUCUAAACGACCAAAGCAAAGUCAGACGUGACCGGAAGCAUCGACAAGCAAUACAUCGAAAAAGAAACAUUUUCGAAAACUUUACGAAAAAAAAGCAUUCUUGCAACGCAACUAACAUAGCGAAUCUGGCAUUGGACUUUAGCGCUAGGCAACUCAGAGUGCAGCUUUCCAACUCUACAUACACCUGCAUAUAGUAUUUAGGUACAAAUAGGUACCUGAAAAUUCCUUUUGCCACUGCAGACAAAUAGUUGCAACAAAAACCAAGUGAAUUCAUAUUAUAAUUCCGCGCAGGAUCCAACAAGUACUUGUAAAGAACUGACCAGCAGAGCAACGCAUCGAGAUCAAUGGAUUCGUCCGGAAACAACAGCAGCAACAACAAAUUCCAAUAUAUUGUAGGUAAAAGUAAGAACAAUAGCAACAAAAACAGCAGACUAAAAAAAAGCAACAAGACUACGUGUUGGCGCAAAAACUAUUGAAUCGAUCGCGCACGAUCGCAAAUGCGACAAAGUCGCUCACCAACGCCAACAACACGACAGGAACAAUGGACUUACAAUCAUUCAAACAUAGUGGGAUCAUGAAUAUUAAAAAGUUUAAAUAUGAGUAACGAGUAUUUUAAAAAAUAAUACGCAAAAAGAGGCAGGGUAUACACGUUAAAGGGAGCUGAAAGAACAAUGCAACAAGUGAAGCGCCAUGCACGUGCAAGUGUUCCCUCGCAGACUGAAAGUGCUGGGAUUCAAAUAGCGCAGACAAGUUGUGUACGAGUAGAAGGGGAUGCUUGCAGCUUUAGCUGAAAAAGCAACAGCCUAGAUUACAUUAAAAGCGUGAUUUGUGAAAAACGAAGUGAGUAGUUUUCUUCAGCUUUGAGAAGGCGACCAAAGAGUUUGGUCUGGCGGUGAUCGAAGACAUAACACAGCAUAUAUGUACCUUCCUACUAUCAACAAAACAGUCCGUCCCUAUUGGCAUUGGCUGUAAUGACUUUGGAACUGUAAAGGAUAAGAACCAACAUUACUGCUACACAGCUGCAUAUAACCACGGCGGGCACUGUAACCGAAUGGGUUGGUGUGUGACUACCACUCGGAAGUGCACAGGUUCGAAACUCCGGGCACGAAACACCAAUUGGUAGAAAAAGGUUUUUUUAAUGGCAGGCUAUGGCAAACCUCCGAGUGUAUUUCCACCAUGAAAAGGUAUAAAAACCCAACUGCGGCUCGGAGGCGGCGUUAAACUGGAGCUUCUUCCAUUAGUGGGAAAACAUCAAGGCACGCACUUCAAAUAGGAGAGGAAGCCUGGACAAA